Molecule: long non-coding RNA, 2763 nt
Organism: Phasianus colchicus (ring-necked pheasant)
Lineage: Eukaryota; Metazoa; Chordata; Aves; Galliformes; Phasianidae
Source: Ensembl
GGACAAGUUCCUGAGAAAAGUACUUGUUUUCAUGCUGAGUAUCUCUGCUGGAAAAUAAGGAGUAAAUAAAUGAGUAAUUUUAAGCAAAUAGUCAGACUUUUUGGACAGGGACUUCUCCUCAGCUGGAAAUUUGAUGCUUUCAAGGAUAUUGUUGUGUAGGGACAUAUGGAGUUCAUCUUGGAGAUUAUGAGCACUGAUGGAGAGCUAGAUGGGCACUAUAUUACCAAAUGUGUACAAAGAAACCUGAGUCAUGCAAACCAAGUGAGUGAUUCAGUUCCAGUAGAAAAUAAUAAUAAUAAUUAAAAAAACAUGGAUAUCAAGUCACAAAAAAAUAGUUUGAAGGCAGUAGUCGAGGUAAAGCUAAAUAAUUUUAGAGAACAAAGAGAAAGACUUGGUGUAUUGUAAUUGUUGAGUCAUGGCCUAAACCACUGAUUGAGCACCUGGGGAAAGGACCCGGUCAGCCGUGGGAGCACAGGUGAAUGCAAUUCAGCUGUAGGAUUGGAAGGGGUGGGGCUUGGCUGCACCUCCCUUAGACCUCUUUUAAGGGCUGACUGGCAUUGUGGUAGUAUUUCUUUCUAGAGAUUCCUUCUUGGUGCAGCUUUCCUCUGUGAGCCUAGAAUCUUCUGAUGUGGUUGAGCAAUCUUCUUCCCUUUCUUUAUAGCACUUUUCUAUUGUGGUGGUCCUUUUGUUAUCAUGUGUUUCUUGUAACGCCUUUUCCAUUGUAUUGAUCUGUCUAAUUGCUACAUAUGGAAACAAGAGGAGACCUACUAGCAGAAAACUUCUGGAAGCAUGUGAAAAGCUAAUAUGCAGCCACAUGUGGACAGUUUUGGGGGCAGCAAGACUGGAGAGAAAUUAAAAAGGGCUGUGAGAGGUAUAGCAGAGGGACAUGGAACUAUGCCCAGGGUCAACAAGCAAGGGAAGGAAGGGUACUCAGCAGCUGUUAUUUAUUCACAAAGAAGAAACGCUAUCUCUGAAAAAACUGCUGUGGUCCAGUCUGUGUUAUUUACUUCACCGAUACCAUGGGCUGGGAGAAGCAGCACAUUACAACUGUUGUUGUCAGCAUCUCCUCCAGAAGACGUAACGUAUAGUCUCUAUGCCCUGUGGAAUUCUGGAGAGUGCAUGCUUUCAUCGGAGACUUCACAAAGCAUUCACAACAGGACUCUUUCCCAGGGAUACUGGUUCACAGAUGCUCUCUUUCAGCCAGCCUUGUAUCAUCAGAUUUUUUGCAAACCUGAGCCUAAGGACAUGUGAUCCUGAAUCACUUCCACUGAAAUGCCCUAGGAUUGUUUUGAGACAAAAGCUUGGCUCAUGGUGGCUUUUCUCAGAAAAGCAAGCAGAGGGGAGCUGUCAUGAGCCAUGUUUUACUGCAGUGCUUUGUUGGUCUGUCUGUCUGUAUAAUUUCAAAAUUGCUGAUUCAUCUCCAGGCUUUGAAACUAGUGACUCCAAACAUGGCCCUUUUCUAACUUUGGGAACAUUUUUUCAUGGUAUGUAGAUAAAUGACAUGUUAAUGUAAAUUGUCAGGCUCAGCCUAGAGUUAAUCUGUUUUGCUGUAUGGAAGGCAAAACAAGAAAAUUCCUUCAAGGCUGUUCCUCAGAUUUAGCUCCAGUUGCAUUCUCUCUGUUCCUGCCAAAAUGUGAGCAAUGGUCAGAAAAAAUUGUUCUUCAGCAUGGGGGAGUCAAACAGCUAAUGAGCAAAACCAAGCCCAUCCCUCUGCGAUCUAAACCAAUGCACAAAGAUGGCUCUGAGAGAGCGCUCUGCAAGCUCCUUCCUGUUUGCUAUAGGUUGCACAGUUGGAUACCCUAAUUGAGAAAGGCUAGAUGCAUCACUAGUGAAAAAAGUCUCUCAUCACUGGGAUUUGCAUACGGUAGCAUGACAUUGUGCAGCCACGCAAGAAAUUGUAGUGCAGAGGCCUUGUUUCUGUGGUCAACUUAAAGAAGCUGACAUGAUAUUCAGUAAAAGCACAGUAUGGGAAGUUUACCUCAGAGGUAUGGGUUUCUGAACUACUGCAUACCCAUGUGUGGGGUUUGCUUACAUGAGAGCAGGUUCAAAUCAGAAUGAGCGAAACAAGAGACAAGUCCAUUUAAUUUUGAAUUUCACUGUGCUCUAGAUAAUGUGUAGGGGCUCAUCUGUUUUCCCCCACAGUGCUCAGGACAAACUGUAACUGCCUGUAAGUGUUUCUAGUUAUAGAAAGCAAAAAUCUUGCAAAAUCCCAUCUUAGCUAUUUACAAGUAAGAUUCUGGAUGGAUACACCUGUCAUUUAAUCAGACAUUUAGCUGUGUUUAGAAUAACAUCUGUGUUUUGAAGCAGAGGUAAAAAAAAAAAACUAUAUUAAUGUCCUUUAUAUAUACAUGUUGUUAAAUGUGUAUAUUAGCUGCCACUGAAACGAGUACUUGAAUGUGGAUGUGACAAAUCUGUCUUUGGUAAAUAAUUCAGGUCAUCUAAGCUGAUCUCAACUAAGAUUGGACUUAUGUCCAGGUACUGAACUUCCCUUUCCUGUGUUUUCAGAUCACUGUAAUUUAAUAUUCCAGGAUGCACAUGAUUUACCAAGCAAGAAAACCUAUUUGUUAUUGAGACCAAUAAUUUUAAGAUACCACUGAAGGAUACAGGUUAUUCUUUUCUGAAAAACAGAAUUAAUGCAGUUCUUCAUUUCUGAACUGAAGAGUUCCUUAUUUUCUCUCUUACAUAACCACCCACAUUUAAAAGGAUGGAAAAAUAGGAAAGUGGAAGAAUAAAACUUUGUGCUUACUGUUUUGGAGACGGUAU